CCAAACUGUUCUUGGAAUGGUUCCCUUUGUUAAAUUCCCCUGAAACUUUUCCUAGGAUCUUCCAAGCUUCUUCAUGGAUUCUUCCUCUUGUUAAAUACCUGUGGAUCUUUUUCUAGGAUCUUUCAAACUGGUCUUGGAAUGGUUCCCUUUGUUAAAUUCCUCUGAAACUUUUCCUAGGAUCUUCCAAGCUUCUUCUUGAAUUGUUCCUCUUGUUAAAUUCCCUGAGAAUGUUUCCUAGGAUCUUUUCUUAGGAUCUUCCAAAUGGUUCCUCUGAUUAAAUUCCCCUAGAAUAUUUCCAAAGAUCUUCAAAAUGUUUUCUCUGAUUCAAUUCCCCAUGAUCUUUUCCUAGGAUCUCCCAAACUGCUCUUGGAAUGGUUCCCCUUGUUAAAUUCACCUGAAACUAUUCCUAGGAUCUUCCAAGCUUCUUCUUGGACAGUUCUUCUUAAAUUCCCCUGGAACUUUUCCUUGGAUCUUUUCUCAGGAUCUUCAAAAUAGUUCCUCUGAAUAAAUUCCCUGAGAAUAUUUCCUAGAAUCUUCUAAAUGAUUCCUCUGAUUAAAUUUCCCUGGAUCUUUUUCUAGAUCUUCCAAACUGCUCUUGGAAAGGUUCCCUUUGUUAAAUUCCUCCGAAACUUUUCCUAGGAUCUUCUUGAGCUUUUUCUUGGAUGGUGGUUCUUGUUAAAUUCCCCUGGAACUUUUCCUAGGAUCUUACAAAUGGUUCCUCUGGUUAAAUUCCCCUAGAACAUUUCCUAAGAUCUUCCAAAGUCUGCUUGGAUGGAUCCAGGGAGAUGAACCUGCUGAGGAGAGGGACCUGAGCCAGCAUUUGGGCAGAAGAAGGGAGGUUGGGAUAUUUCUCCUUCUGGGAGACGCCUGAGGAGAAGCAGAGAUGUCACCCCAUCCCAGUGUCAGAAAAAUCCCAAAAAAAGAGGGAAAAAUCAGCUCCUUCUGCAAAAACCUUUGGAUUUCCUCUGGCUCCUUCCUCUCUCAGGUGUGGGAUCUGAAAAUCUGGGAAUGGGAAAGGAUCUGCAUCUUUCAGAGGUAAAAAAUAUCCCAGGGAGGGUUGGGAAGAGCCAAGAGCAGCCCCAAAUUUUUUAUCCUUUCUCUCCUUUCUCCUUUUCCCUUUCCUUUGAAAAUCCAGGAAUUCCUGAUCCAUGAGGAGUUCCUGACUCGGAUUCAGGAUACUCCUGAUCCUGGGCUUAUUUUUAAACCUCUCCUUAAUCCCUCCCCGCACGUCUGGAACAAAUUGGACAAAGCCAAGCAAAUUGGACACAGAGAGGAAAAGUGCCAGGAAAACUCCAGGAGGGAAAUAAACCCCUGGGAAUUGGGAAAAAAUGGGGGAAA
RNAcentral lists this long non-coding RNA (1338 nucleotides) under Junco hyemalis (dark-eyed junco). RNAcentral's name for it is "lncRNA (ENSJHYG00000015268.1)". The record is from RNAcentral. Lineage: Eukaryota; Metazoa; Chordata; Aves; Passeriformes; Passerellidae.